This 507-nucleotide ribosomal RNA is filed under the name uncultured bacterium. RNAcentral describes it as "bacterial LSU rRNA". It matches the Rfam family "Bacterial large subunit ribosomal RNA", at positions 1277 to 1853 of the family's 2925-position model. The record is from RNAcentral.
ACAUUAUACGAGUGAAGAAUGCCGGAAUGAGUAGCGAGAAUUAUGUGAGAAUCAUAAUGGCCGAAAGUCUAAGGUUUUAGGAGGAAGGUUCGUCCGCUCCUAGUAAGCCGGGAGCUAAGGUGAGGCGGAAACGCGUAGCCGAUGCACAUACUGUUGAAAAUCAGUAGCCUCCGAAAGAUUUAAACACAGGGACACUUUGAAAGCGAUUAGCCGGGCGUUGGUUGCCCCGGUUGAAAAGGACUGAAUUAAUUCGGGAAGUAAUCGUGGACGAAGGCGAGAAAAGCUGUGCGAAUAUCUGCUGGAGCCCGUACCGCAAACCGACACAGGUAGACAGGAAGAGAAUUCUAAGGCCAACGGGAGAAGGGUUGUUAAGGAACUCGGCAAGUUGACCCCGUAACUUAGGGAGAAGGGGUGCUUGCAUAACAGCAAGCCGCAGAGAAUAGGCCCAAGCGACUGUUUAGCAAAAACACAGCUCUAUGCUAAAUCGAAAGAUGACGUAUAUGGGGU